UUGAAGAGAUCAAGAAAUUUUGCAUUUUUUUCAGUUUUGGCUCACAACCAUCUCAAGAUUCUUGGACAGAAAACUUCUUCAUGGUAGUUCACUUGUUACCUCAAAGGAAUGGAUUCAAAUGCCCAAGCCUAUAAAAUAAUGCCAAUAAAUCAAAAACAUUAUUGAAUAAAAAAUUGAAUCAUAUCAUAAUAAAAGAAAUAUUUACUAUGAAAGCCCAUGGAAAGCCAUAUAAGUUGACUGUCGUUGGAGUUAACGGAGUCAACAAAUAUUUGACAAUCAUUUUGAAGCUUUCAUAACCCCAAAGAUAGCUAUUAAAUGCCUCAAGAUCCUCGGAGAUCUUUAUUAAAACAAGUGGUACGUUGUUCGUCUCUCACCCAAAGAAUAUUAUAUACAAACCAAACUAAGCACAAUGAUUGUUUGUACUUUUUUGAAAGUCUUUUAUCUUUCGACGCUUCUAUCAAUUUUUUAUUUUUGAAGCCUGGAUCAACAAGGGACACCAGGUCAUCACGAUCACUUGACUUGCAUUUACCUUUUUUAGGUGUGCGGGCUGCUUUUUUUGGAUUAGAAUAGGUGUAAAUUGAGAAGGAGAAGGAAGAUAACAUUUCAGUCCAGUAACUAUGGCAAACUACUUCCAACCAAAAAAACAGGCAUGCCAUAGUAAUUUAUCCACACCUCAUCCAUCUUAUCUUUAUUUUCAUACAUAAGCCUAUGCUUGAGAAGGUCAUAUACUAUUUUUAUUUGGAAAUGAGCAUUGUUGUCCUCUGGCAAAUCAAGAUAUUGCCUAAAGCAGCUGUCCCAGAAAUAAGCAUUUAAAUUUUAUUCUCAAAGUAUUUUUCUAAAGGCGUCGAAAGAUUUUUUCAUGGCUGACUUAACCACGAAAUCACCCAUUUAAUCUGUGGCACCAUCACACUACAUUCUCACAAGAUAACUACCAAUGCUGAAGGUUUUGAGCACCUUUUCACUGGAAGGGCUAAUAGCAUUUGGAUCAUCUCUUUUGAAAUAUUCCUCCUCUCCAUGUUCAUUAUCUUCUACUUCUAAUUGAGAUAAUGCUUGUAAAGCAAGCUCAUAGAGUGGUGGAUGUAGCCUAGUGGCUUUGCUUAUUCCUUUACUUGGACUUGAUUCGAUUUCUUUUUUUUUUGGGAGCCAUAUAAUCUAAAAAUAAUAGGAACAAAAAAUAGAUUAUAAUUAAUUAAUACAUCAUUAAAAAAAGAUAACAAUAUAUCUAACAUGUACAAUAAUAAAAUAACAGUUCCAACAGAUGACACAUUUGUUGCACCAGGUAGGUUAUCUAUUGCAACAUAUAACUAACCAUUGUAAUGGAUGAGUAAUAUAUUACAAUAAUAAAAAUAGAUCAUUCAUCUACUGAAACAGAUGACUGGUCUGUGCAACAGGUCACACAUCUGUUGCAACAUAUGAAUGAUCUAUUGGAACUGUUAUCAAUUGUUAGUAUUAUUUAUAUUUCUUCCAAUAGAAGAGUCGUCUAUCACAACAAAUGAAUGAUCAGUUGAAAAAAAUCAUGUCUUGGACAUGUCCUAUUGGAAUAGUAUAGGAUUUUAUCCAACUGAAGGUUCAUCUAUUGCAUCAGAUGAUUAAUUUGUUAUAUUAGAUUUUUAAUCCGAUAGUUCCUUCAUUGAAUCAGAUGGUGAAUCUAUUGCAUUAGACGAUUAAUCUGUUGUAUCAGAUGGUUAAUUUGUUGCAUCAGAUUUUUAAUCAGAUGGUUCCUUUGUUGCAUUUGAUGAUAAAUCUAUUGCAUCUUAUGGUUAAUCUGUUGCAUCAGAUGAUUAACCUGUUGCAUCAGAUUUUUAAUCCAAUGGUUCCUUUGUUGCAUCAGAUUAUUAAUUUAUUGCAUUAGAUCGUAAAUCGAUUGCAUCGGAUUGUAAAUCUAUUACAUCAGAUAGUUAAUCUGUUGCACCGGAUGGUUAAUCUGUUGCAUCAGAAGGUUAAUCUAUUGCAGAUAAAAAAUAGUAGCAUGGUUUUGUUCAAAACAUCAAUACCACCAUUUUUACCUCGAACAAGAACAAAUCAACCCAACAACAGGCACAACACCAAAAACACCAACAUCAUUAUUUUGUUUGUACAAACACAAAAAACAAAAAUCAAACUUUAAAAACAGCACCAAACAAUAAAAAAUAAUAUUUCACUCCGAAAAGAGGAGAAGAAAUAUCAAAAAUUAGGGUUUUAUUCAGACCGCAUUUCAAAUUAAAGCAACAAUUAUUAAAAUUAUUAACCAAUACUAGAAGAGAAGUUGACUCAAGUUCCUCUUUUUCUUUAAAACUAAAAGGCCAUAAUUUUUUACCCGUGAAUAAAGAAAAGGGAAGAUGAAGAACUCGAAGCUGUUGUGGCCAGAGAGCAAGGUUGUCACAUCGAUUGAUGAUUGAAAGUCAAAAAGGAACUUGAAGCCCAACUAUUUAUCGCCUGAGGUUGGAGUCACCGGGGAUUGAAGGGAUAAAUUUGCAGAAUUGUUUGUUAGGAGAAACUGUCGAGAGAGAGAGGGGAGAGACAGUUGAUUUGGAGAGGAGAGGGGUGUGGGUUGAUUUUUAUUUUUGAAAAUAUUAGAAAGUUUUGAAAAUAUUAAUCAAGUUCACAAUUAGCCUAAUCAAGUUUCUUAAUUAUUUUUGACCCUUUAAGUUGGUCAAUGGCACCAAUCCUUCAUUCAAGGCUUAAAUGACACAUUUCCUUUAAUUUCUUAGGAAACUUGCCUAAAUAAAUCAUGUUUAAAAAAUAUUUAUCAUUUAUAGCUAUAUAAUUUUAAUAUAUGCAUACUUUUAAUACAUAGUGUAGAUUUUCGUAUCAAAAUAAGCAUAAUACAGACACUCAUAUUACAUCUAUAUUGCAUGCAUAAUUCAUUUUUAGUACAUAAUGUAAUACAUUUAUAUUGCACGUAUAAUUCAUUUUUAAAAUAUAGUACAUUUAUUUUUACCAAAAUAAGUAUAAUAUAUUUUAAUACACUUACUUUUAAUACAUAGUACAGUUGCUAUAGAUGAUAAAUAUUUUCUAAAUAUGGUAUAUCUAGAAAAUAAAUAACAAGUAUGUUUAAAAACAAUAAAUAUUUUAUAAAAAGUACUCCAGUAGGUCGUUUUUCCUAUUAGGAUUGUUAUAGAGUUGUACCUAUUUUCAGCUUUCUUAGAAGCUUUGUUUAGGUAUUUCUGAGAACAUUGUGUUCUUACUUUGCUGCAUUUCUUAGUUGACAUCAAAGUAAAAGGUAACAAGUAAUCUGAUCCACCACUAAGGUGAAAAUCAGGUAUAACUCAACUCACUCCGAUCCCUCUUGUGUUGUUAGGAUGUGUAGACUAUCAAAAGAGAUUGGAGAAAUUUUCUAACUGUUAUUGCCAAAUAAUGGUUCCAUUAACUUGGUCAGUCUCUAUGUAGUUUGGAGAAGUUUAUUUGAAUAGAAUGCGUAGGUAUAGUUUGUAUUUUCUUUAUGAUCGAGUUAUGUGUUUUCCUAACAAUUUUAUUGAAGUGUCUCACUUUCCUUGUAUGGGAUGUUCAUAAUGCUCACUUGAGGUCUCUGUGCAUACCUUGUAAAAUCGACCUUAAUUACUAUGGUUACAAAUGAAAAGGAGAGAGCUACGUCAACAAACUAGAAGGAUCACAAUAAAAUGGCUUCGGUCCUGAAACUUAUAUUCUAUGGUGCUUGAAAGCAAUCUGUUGUAUCAAAGAGUAGUGAUGCAAAAGGUACGAAUAUUUUGUAGGAUUUAGUAGAUGGAUGAUGAGCGAAUUGGAAAACCAUCAGCUGGUGCUCCAUCUACUUUACUGGAUCUUUUUCAGCAAUCUGGAACAACCUCGGUAUGGUGGAAUAUUGUCUGAAUUGGCCCAUGAAGGUUAUACUUAUGUCAGGAUAAUGAGGUGGUUGUUAAGCUGCCGUAGAUGUCAAAACCAAUGAUUAGAUCCUUCCCUAGUUUGUUGGAGCUGGGUAGUUUUGUUCUGUAGAGUACACCUGAGAAGAAUUCAAUCAUAAUCGGAUGACUCGUGAUCCCCCUAGUUAUGAGGACUCCUCCUUUCAAUGCUGUGUCAAAGGUCCAAAAGUGAGGAUUCCAUUGAUCGGUGGGGAUGAUGUCAAGGUUCAGUAUUGAGGCAGUUGCUUUAGUGUCCAUGAAGGUGAUGAAAUGAAAGGGCUUGUCCCAUCCUGAAGGAUAUGUGUUUCCAGCUCAGAGAUCAUGUUGAUACCUCCUGUGAGCAUGUUGAUCUCUUCCAUUAGUUUUGUUAACCAAUUGAAUUCUUCUUUACUGAUGGGUGAUAAUAUCUUCUCCAAGUAGUCAUUGAUAAUGAGGGCUGAGGUUGGCCAUCAAUAAAGAGAGAUAGAUUGUCCUUGGGAUCUUCUGCAUCUACAUUACAGACAGAUUUAGGAAUGCUGUCUGGAUUAGAAUGGAGAACCUCAUCUUUAAUCGGGUACUUGUCAGCCUUCAUUGUUUCUUCUGAGGAUGGAGCAUUUCUUUUUGCCUUUUCGGACUUAGGACAUGUUUUGGAAAAGUGUUUUUUUUCAUGGCAGAUGAAGCACUUUGCUUUGACUAAAUCCUUCUUUCUGGGGAAUCUGGCGUCAUUGUCGGACAUUAGUUCCUUAUCCGACGGUUUCUUCUUUCUGGCCCGCCUGUACUGCAUGUACCUUUUAUGCCUUGCCUAACAUUUUAAGAGAAGGGGAAACCCAUGUGGCUUAGUAUCUGGAUCAACAUGGUUGGUAGUAAUCACACUAGUAGUCUCAUCAGCCUCUCCAGGAAGAACAAGAUUCGAAUUAUAGUUUGUGAUCAUCAUGUUAGUCAGAUCAGUUGAUUGAGGAUGUUGUUGCACUUUUUCCUCCUCUGGGUUGACUUUAUUAAAGGCAAUAGGGGAAUUUAAAUAUUCCUCAAAAGGAUCACUAUGGAAUUGUUGAGGAGUAUAAUUCCUUGCUUUUGCUGUAAUGAACACUGAGGUGGCAUAUUCUUGCAUAGGAGGAUUAUCAGCCUAGAAGAAUUCUGGACAUGUGUGGUUUCCAUUAAGGAGUCAGUGAUCGAUACAAUUCCAAUCCCUAUCACGUGGAACUUCAUGUAGAAUCUGUAGGUCACUAUCUGGGACUAUAACAACCAGUUCUGCAAAAAUAUCAUUUUGUGGUGGAGCAAUAACCAUUCAGUCUAUCAUAUCAGCAUCAUGCGGGGCCUUCAUUCUUUUGACUUGUGUUUGUAUUCUUACAGCUUGUUGGCAGUCUAUCAUGACUUUUUUUUUUCUAUGUGUGUCUAGGAAGAUCAAAUCUUUGCCCAUCUUCUUGAGUCAGAUUGAGGAGCUCGAAAGUGGAUGAGCUUGAUGUAGAUGUGGAAAAAGGCUAGUGUAGCCUCUAUGGUGAUGUGGGAAGUAUGACAUAUGUUGGGAUAUUUUAUGGAUUUGUGAUGCCGUAUCUCAACAGGGUAAUAUGUUUUUUGAGUAAUGGCAUUUCUCUUCUUUGGUAGUCAAUGAAGGAUAGUACUGAGGUGUUUAGUGGACAGGUCUCAGACUGAACAAUCUGUCUCCUUUCUUCUAGCACCUUUAUGAGUUUAGCAUGGCCCGAAUCCCAGUAUCCAUCUUAAUCACUGGCUUCUUUAUAAGCUUCACAGCUACAGUUUCUAACCCAUAGGCAAUGUCUUGUGAAAGGACAUUUAAACCAGUGUACGUUGUAUCCUUCGUGGUUGAAUUGUUGAACCCAGUCAUUAUCUCUCAUGAAUCCUUCAAGUAAGCGCGAGACAUAUUCCAGAUCUAAGAUUUCUUCCUUAAAAUAAGUAUCAGAGGGGAUGAUCAUGCUAAUAGGAAGAGAUUCCUGGUGAGGUGUCACUUCAGACAAAGUUUGAAGACGCUGAGAAUAGAAUCUCAACCUCUUGUAACAAUUGACACAUUAAUCUAGAGUGACUUUGAGAAAUUCUUCCCUAGACACUUGGUUUGACAUCUAUACACCAAGGACAGUUCUUUGGGUAGUGUUUAUGACUAAGGAUAAAAAGGUUUGGUCUCCUGGCAUGGACAGAGUGUCCUCAUAGUUUUGUACUUGCCAAGCUGAUUGGAAAUGUACGGUUGGUUAUGUGCUAGCCUCUGGUGUUUCCAAGAUUUGGACUUGGAUCUUUAGUGCCUUGGUUAAGCUUGGAUCCAUAAGGGACAUGAUAAGGUUUGGAAAGAGAGUAACAACAAGUGUCCCAUCAUCUAGGAUAACAUGUAGAGUACCUAGAUUCACAUGUUGGUAUUUACAAAAUCUCAUAUCAAGGAGAGAAAGACAUGCCUUUAGUGGUUGUCGUUUUCUUCCAUGAUGCGUCAACGCAACACGAAUAGCACCAAAAUAGAUAUGGGUAUAAUAAUGAUUUCUCUACUCUUGUAGGAUGUUUUCUGGUAUCUGCAAAGUGAUGAAAUAGUCAUAUAGAGUCGUAAGGAUAUGCUGGUCAAAAGUUAUGGCAACAAAGUAUUCCUUAAAUCCUUUUGGCUUAUUCUGAUGCAAAGAAUCAAUAUGAAUCUAUAGAUUACAUGCUUUCUUGACAAAGGCAGAGUAGGGGUUAGGUAGAGGUAUAUAUAUGGAGUGUAUAUCUUGUUCAGGCUGUAGCACCUCUACUUCAAAGAGAUUGUUAUAUUUACAUGACAAAGUCUUGUGAGGGAAAGAAAAUAUGCUAGCUAAGGAAGAAACUGGUAUGGAGCAAACAAAGUAGAAGAAGUUGUAGAGAAAGACAUAUUUUUGUAUUUUUGGACUAUAAAGACUCGAUGUAUUUGUUCUAAGGCUCUAUGGAAAAGACUCAUUAAAAUAUAAAUUUUUUUUGUAUUUUUGUGGACUGACUAUAUAUAUUUGUGCUAAAGAUCUAAGGACAAGACAAAACAAAUAUUUGUUCUAAAAUCUAAGAAAAGAGACUACCACUCAAUUAUAUAUAAGACACAGAAUACAAUAAGUGAAAAACACUGACAUUAAUAAUGGAAAUGAAACUAUGACUUAAAUAUGUACAAGACUGUGAAAGUAAAACUGGAAAGUGAGAAGUGGUAACAGAUCUAAGAAUAGAAGCUAUGACAAAAUAAAAAUAAAAAUGUAAAGCUGGUUCACGUGGUUGCAAUUAGCAGAGGUGGAUGCAAAAUCUUACUUCCUCCCUCUCUCUGAGAGUGUGGAUGGCUCUGAUACCAAACAGACAGGGAGGCAGCGGGGCAUAGAGGACUGCCAGCGAGAGCAUCCAGGAGGCUAAAAAUAGACUCCAAACUUUCUAACAUGAAAAGUGGUUUCACGACUAUAUAGGCGACACACCAUAUGAAAUUAAAUCUUCUAUCAACACCACAGACACAGAGUCUAACCUUUCCAAUAUGAUAGGCCAUUCACGUCCAUAUAGGCGGCAAGUCAUAUGAAAUCAAAACUUUUAAUCUACACACCGUAACUUUCCUACGACUGAGAUACUCAUUCAUAAGGACGAUUUGAUUUAUCAACAAAGCCUUCACAAACCUGAACGGGAUGGCUUGGCUUUGAAACAUGAGCUACACAUUCAGAUGGUUUGCCUUUGUAACAAAGACUUCACAACCCUCAGUGGGACGGCAUGACUUUGUCAGUCUUAGAACACAUGAAUCCUUUAUAUCCUUAGUACAAGACUAUUUUGUAUAUGUCAUAAACGGGUCUUACAACAGCUCUCCCUGGUCCGUUUCCCUCAAGCAUCCACAGAAAAAAGGAGUACUAAGGCAGACCUAAGAUUUUCCUAUUGCCAUCAAUUCGAAAAGCUAUGGCAUGGACUAAGCCAAUUUCGUUUCAUAUACAUGGAAAUGACUUAGACAUCGCAAUAUGAAGCCAACUUCAUUUUAUAUUCAUAGAAAGUACCUUCGGAGUUCUAUGUUUCAGUCACAAUAAGCACCUCACCAAAGUAUUUCCUUACCCCACUGCUUCGACCUAAAGUACCAAAUCACCCAUCCCUUUGGAAGAGAGAAAGCAAGAGCAAGAGAUUUUAGCCAAUAAAUAUUUUUAUUGAAAAUAGAGAAACUAUAAAAAAGGUUUUUAGGUAGAGAGAAUGAUGCCAUCUGCCGAAAGGCCUAGGCUUCUUUUUAUACGAGAAAAAAGCUUACUAGAUAAGCCACUAAGGAGGGUUUCCUUAGAGAUGAGGGUAACUUACUGGAAAGGGUAACCCGCUGGAGAGGGUAACCUGCUGGGAAGGGUAACCCACUGGAGAGGGUAACUUCUUACACAUGUCAUUUGACGUCAUCUUUAAGGUAGUGUUGGAUGGUGCCGGCGGCGAUGAGCUUGCGUAUCUUUCUUCCAUAUACCAAUCUACUCUGUGCUUGAUGAAUAGUCAUAUAAGUCUGAUGGCUGGCGUUGUUUCCUUCUUCUCUAUCGGUAGACAGUUUUUUGAAGAGAAUUCCUUCGGCCUUGAUAGGAAGUCUUCCAGGAUGUUCUCCUUUACCUUAAUGUGUUUUACUCUAAAUUUAUAGGGAGAAAACCAUUGAGACCGUCGAAAAAUCUACGAAUUUGGGAUAAUCUUUAGAUGUAGCUGGACCAUUUUAGGAAAAGCCCGCUAGAUCUAAAAUUUAGUGUAAAUAAGGAAUAAGUUAAACUUCUUGAUUCCAUUCUUCACAACAAGAAUUUCCUUGAAGGUGGAAUGAUAGUGUUGUUCUGUCUCUUUGAAUUUUCCACUUACCUGUCUUCAUACUUUUCACUGGUCGUCUUUUUCUUUAAGGAGAACUGCACUCCAAUAGUGGUUGCUAGCAUCAGUCUGCAAUAUCAUCUGUUCGUCUAAUAGGAUAUAGAGUGUCUUGACAUUGCUAGAGAUUCCUUUGAUUUUUCGGACUGCAUCACCCUGCUCUUUUCCCAGGCUGGAGCAUUUUUCUUUAGUAUCUUUGUGAGUGGGGAGAUAUAGGUUGAGACAUCAGGGAUAAAGUCUCUGACAUAAUUAAUCACGCCAAGAAACUGCUCGAGCUGCUUAACUGAAAAGGUAGUAUUUGGAAACUUAAGCAAUUCUUGGAAGAUAUGUGGUCCAGGAGUGUAAGAGCCAUAGGCAAAAUGUAUUCCCAAGAAAUCAAUCUCAUCUCGCACGAGGGUCAUCUUUUUUGCCGAUGGUACGCCAUGCUACUUUAACAAGUCAUGGAAUUGGCGGAGUAGAUCAAGGUGCUCAUCUAUAGUGUUGCUGAAGAGCAGUAUAUCAUCGAUGUAGACCAAUGAUGUAUGGAAGAUGGGAUUGAAUAUUCUGAUCAUGGCCUUUUGGAAAAGUAAGGGGCAGGUUUGAGCCCAAAUGACAUAACUUUCCACUGGUAGUAGUGAUCGGGUAUAUAGAAGGACGUUUUGGCUCUAUCUUCUGGGUGUAUGCCCAGCUUGUAGAAUCUAGAUUUAGGGUUGAAUUCGACUAAUUGCAUUCCACCUUUAUUCUUCUUCUUCUUCUUCUUAUAUGUAAAUAGAAGGUUCUCCAAAUUGGGAGAUCUCCUAAGAAUUCUUAGAAGGGAAAGUAUUUGAUCUUCAUCAUCGAAAUCGAACUAAAUGGUGUGACAACCCUUAAGUUGUUGAGGCAUGUGGUGAGGCUCUCGUCUUCAAUACAAGAAGCAAAAGACUUUAGGUAGUGAAUGUCAAGAAUAAAAUGAAAAACUUCAGGCCAGCUAUUGAGUAGAUAUGUCCAGUUCAUCGGUCUAUCUUCGUGGUGUUUGUUUACUACAAGUGCAACUCUUUUCAGCUUCCUAGAGUCUAUGAAAUGGCCCAACUCAAGCGUUUUAGCAGUAUUUAUAAGAUAGAAUAUUGAGAGUUUUGGUGCAUAUAUUUUUAAGUGGUCAAGUCCUAUGGACGUCCCAACUAGCAGGUGUCACUAGGUUUGGCAUCGAUAAGUAAGAAGCUUUAAUGCCGUCUAAUUCUAGGGUGAGUUUAACUAGUAUAAGCCUUUUGAGCUUGUGGAAACCCCUGAAGCUGCAUGGUGUCCUGAAAAUGCAGUUGAACAGGAUCAACUUUUCUAAUUCUACAGAGUACAUGUAGGACGACAAUUUAUAAGUAUGAUUGUUCAUAGUCUGAAGGGUGAGAUCCUUAAGUCAGUUUCUCGACAACAAUAACAUCCAUUGAUCAAUAAUAUAGUGUUGAGAGUGAGAUAUUGAUGAAAUACCCAGGAGGAAUGUCUUAAUGGCUCCAUCGUGUUGUGACAAAAUUUUACUGACGAUCUCUAUUAAUUUUUGCUGUAACAAAAUAUUACUGAAGAUGUCUAUUAAUUUGUUCGAUGACUUGUUGUUGGUGUAAUAUACCACAUUUACAAUAAAUGAUUACAGUUGAAAAUAAAAUGAAUAAAAGUGAAGAAAAUAAAAUAAUCUUCUUCUUGGCUGAGGCGUGGAUAUCUCAUUUUCUUUAAGGAGAUUCAAGCCCACUGCAGCAUAAUCUACACCGAUCCAACAGUAUAUCUCGUGACUUGUCCCCUCCAGGAUACAACAACCCAUCAACAAUGUACAACUCAAACAACUCUGGAUUAGUUGAAGAGUCCAAAGCUCCACCAUAAGAGCAUCUUCCUUCAACAUAUAUUUACUCUCUUUGUAUAGUGAAUAUAGUUAAAGACAAAUUAUUUUAUUUAUCUUAACUCUUUCUUUCACUAAUAUAAUAACUCUCAUUUGUAAAGUGAAUAUAGUUGUAGACUUAGAAUAUUUUCUUUGUCUCAACUCUCUCUUUCACUACUACACACUAUAAUCUUUUUCACACUUAUCAUAUUUUCUAGUCCAUGCAUUAUAACAUGCAAGACCACCUCUAUUUAUAGGUGAGGUAUUCAUCCUUGUAUUGAAUAAGAAGAAUGCGGUGUAUUAAAGUGGGUACAUAAAUGGUUGGAUAUUACAUGAGUUAUAAGCAUAAUUACGUAAUAUAAUGGGCAAAUAAAUACUUAGUGGUUAUAGGAGUUUUAAGAAACUCAUGACCACUGUCUUCCACUAACAAAUGUAAGUAAUAUACUCAUAAUACACAAUUUAUACCCACUAAUAUAUACACUUAAUAUAUUAAUUUAUAAAAUACAUAUACACCAAUAUUCCCCCACUCAUUAUAAUAUUAAAGUAUGAGAGUUCACUAAUUUAGUUGAAGGGAGACUAUUAUACAUAAUGAAGGUGUGCUCUGCUUUGAACCUUCACUUAGUAAAACAGUAACAUUUACUCUAGAGUUAGUAGUGGUGCCAUAAUUGAACUAUGACUGCUUAAGGGAAAUAAAGUAUUACUGCUUAUACACAAUAAUAAAAGUGUUGACAUAAGCUUUAAUAGGCAGCACAUUACGCCAUGUGCUAGCCCAAUUUUUCAUGAGCGUUUUUUGAGAAUAAGCCUCAUUCUCAUAGGAAGUGGCCUACUUCCACACUCAUUUAGGUGAAAUCUUUCAAGGGUGGUCCUGUAAUUUCGACACCCCACUCAUAAGAGAUACAAAAUUUCAUUAAGAGUUCUUAGACUCAACCUUCACAAAUCAUUACAGGAAUAAAAUGCACUCACAUCAUAGGAAGAAUUAAACAAUAGUGCAUCUCACACCAAGUCAUUAUAUGAUUCGUUCUUCCCCUUGAACUUGGUUAUAGGAUCUCUAGUCUCCAAGUUGGGUUUCCAUAUAUAUAACUCAUGAUAUUUUUUAUAGGCUUUCUUCCUCCCCCUCGAUGUAAUUCAGACUAUUUUCUUGCUAAGGCCUUAGUUUUGAAUCUGCAAGAUUAUCACAAAGUUAACACAAUUAAUAUUGGUAUACCAUUGAUCAAUAUGAUCUCACAAUAUUGUGUUUUUCUCAUUAUGGUCUGAAUUUUCUAUUAUAAAAAUGGUUUAUACUCUAUCAAUAAAUUUUUGGUGCUAUCACAUAACUCAAUAUUAGAGAGAUCAAUUUCUCAACAUAAAGUGAUUGAUCAAUUAACUUUUUCACUAGUUGAAGCUAAAAUAGUUAUUUCAACCUCCAUAAUGAGUUAGCAAAUCAUAAUUUAUUUCUCAUUAGUAAAUAGCACCACGUUAUUUUUUUCCUCAUUUUGCAUCAAAAACACUUUUAAGUACAACAAGCCACAAACUUUUUCUUUAACCAAGUAAAUAUACUUGAUUUGCUUGUUUAAGUACUUUUACAUAACUUCAUGCCAAGUGAAACUAGCCACAUAUUUCAUAUUUCAUUAAGCUAGUAAAAUCUUUUUUUUUUUCACACCACUUUCACAUAUUUGAAUCAAAAGAAGUUGCAUGACUAAUAUAAUCAACAAAAUGUAUUUCACAAUUUUUAUUUUUUACCAUAAUGUGACAUGUCAAGAAAAAAUUCAUCAAAUAAUUUAGGUAUUUUUCAUUCCAAGAAUGAAAUUUACCUCACCCAAUGUCAAAUGGCUACUCAACAUUUUUACUCUUUCUUUGAUAACAUGCUAGAGCCAAAUAUAAAGACGUCACGUUAUAUACAAAUUAAUAAUGACAUGUGAUUUACUCCAACAAUAAUUAUGCACUUAUAACACUUUUUUAACUCAUUCUCAAAAGUAAAAAUGUCACAAUUUUGUGGUGAUUUUUUCUCAUUUCAUUAGCCCCCACUAUUUUGAGCAUUUGAAAUAUCACUUAUGUUUAUAAAAAGUAGUAUAGUUUUAUUCAAAAUAAAAUAUUAGGUAAUUUUUUUUACCUUUUCUCCGCAACAAGUAGAAUUUUUUUUACCUUUCAUCCCCUUGAGUUGAGCAAGUAUUUUUAUCUUUCAUCCCCUUGAGUUGAGCAAAUAGAAAGAUACUUGUUAUCUCUUGCCAUCUAUCUUUUGAGAUCUCUCAUCUCGAUAUCCAUGAUUUUGUAAACAAUACCAAAACAUGAAUCUCCUUAAAAUUGUUGGUGUAAUAUACCACAUUUACAAUAAAUGAUUACAGUUGAAAAUAAAAUGAAUAAAAGCAAAGAAAAUAAAAUAAUCUUCUUCUUGGCUGAGACGCGGAUAUCUCGCUUUCUUUAAGAAGAUUCAAGCCCACUGUGACAUAAUCUACACCGAUCCAACAGUAUAUCUAGUGACUUAUCCCCUCCAGGAUACAACAGUCCAUCAAUGAUGUACAACUCAAACAACUCUGGAUUAGUUGAAGAGUCCAAAGCUCUACACCUUCCUUCAACAUAUAUUUACUUUCUUUGUAUAGUGAAUAAAGUUAAAGACUUAGAUUGUUUUCUUUGUCUCAACUCUUUCUUUCACUAAUAUAAUAACUCUCAUUUAUAAAGUGAAUAUAGUUGUAGACUUAGAAUAUUUUCUUUGUCUCAACUCUCUCUUUCACUGCUACACACUAUAAUCUAUUUCACACUUAUCAUAUUUUCUAGUCCAUGCAAUAUAACAUGCAAGACCACCUCUAUUUAUAGGUGAGGUAUUCAUCCUUGUAUUGAAUAGGAAGAAUGUGGUGUAGUAAAGUGGGUUCAUGAAUAGUUGGAUGUUACAUGAGUUACAAUUAUAAUUACAUAGUAUAAUGGAAAAAUAAAGACUUAGUGGUUAUAGGAGUUUCAAGAAACUUAUGACCACAUUCUUCCACUAACAAAUGUAAGUAAUAAUACUCAGAAUACACAAUUUAUACCCACUAACAUAUGCACUUAAUAUAUUAAUUUCAUAAUAAAAUGAAUAUACACCAACACUUACUGGGGCAAAACUGAGAAAAUAUGAGGUUGGGGAUUGAAGCCCAAACGUGUCUCUACAAUUUACACAAAACACUCAUUUUUGCAGCUUCAUCAAUAGUCAAAUUCUCCUGAAUUUGGUGUUUGACAUUAAUGGGAAGAUUUGUAACUCUAUCAAUACGUUCGCCAGCUUCAAUUUUGAGUCCCUUAGAGGGAUCCAUUAGUGUGACUUGAGAGUUGUUAUAGAAGGCAAGGCGUGUAUGAUAUAUGAAUGAGUAGAUAGACUCCUAAUUGACUUUAAAUAGGGUUGGGACUUUUAGUCUACAAAUAAUAUCAUGGCAUUACUGUUAAAAGGGUCAUAAGGUAUGCAGUUUUUCUUUUCUAUUUUUCAUUACAUGGGUCUUUUUAUUUUUUGUUUUGGGGGAGGAGAGUGUGGAGAAGUUGUGGGAUUUGUGUUAAAAGGUGGAAUUGUAUGAAUUUGAGUUAUGGGUUUUCUUUUUUAUUUUGUUGUUGUUUGCAAAGAAAAUUUUUUGUGUAAAGAAGCAACAAUUUGAACAGGCACGACACCAACAAGAAUUUCGCUUGAGUUAAAAGGAUAUGUUGAAUUAAGGGUCAUGGGUCGCUCAUGUGACCCGAACCAACCCGACUCGACCUAGUUUUUUAAUUUGUUUUUGAAUUAUCUGACAAAAUAAGGGGAAAAAGAAGAGAUAAGUUUAAUUUUAAAACUUGGGGGGAACGGUUACUGUUCCACUUUCCCAAUAUAUUACCACUUCUUUUCCUAUGUAAAAGUCAGAAAAACAGUAACAAAAGGCCAAAUGGAAAACAACAACAAGGCAGUGAAACUUUAAGGCAUUUAGUUUGUGAUUCUAUAACUUUGUUUCCAAGAGAUUCAAAGAAGACGUGGGGCAGAUCUUUUCGGUUGCAAAAUCAAAUUCCGCUGCAAGUUUAAGGUACACACUGAUUUAUGUUUUUGCUCCGAAUAAACUAACAAUGGCAUCAGAGACGGGUUUAUUGCCCCGUUUUUACAUGUUAUUUUUUUAAGUUUAAGAGAAAUUUAUGUAUGAACAUACCUGUGAGAAAAUCUUGAUUAUUGGUUGUAUGAAUUUUUGGAUCUGAUUAGAAGCGCCGCCAUGGCGGGUUUUUUUUUGGCGGAUCCUGUUAGAUGCCUGUCAAACGCGUCGCUAAAAUCUGGUUGGACGCACCCCAAUUCAGAAAGACACAUCAAUUUUUUUUAUUUGACCUUUCACUUUAAUUUGCUGUUGUGAUUGUUAUGGUUUCAAAUGCUAUGAAGCACUUUUGUAAUUUUUAAGAACAAAAAAAAUAAAAAAUAUAAGGUUUGAUUUAUGCGGCUUCAGAAGAAGGAAAGAAAGCUGCUCCCCUUUUGUUUUUUUCUUUUUAUAAGAAAUAGUAAAGUUUUUGUUUGACUUUAAGAGAGAAGUACUUUUGAG
Molecule: long non-coding RNA, 14879 nt
Filed under: Capsicum annuum
Lineage: Eukaryota; Viridiplantae; Streptophyta; Magnoliopsida; Solanales; Solanaceae
Description: long non-coding RNA (CANN_LNC011938)
Source: RNAcentral